RNAcentral lists this ribosomal RNA (612 nucleotides) under Maladera joachimi. Its description in RNAcentral is "partial 16S large subunit ribosomal RNA". It matches the Rfam family "Bacterial large subunit ribosomal RNA", at positions 1844 to 2732 of the family's 2925-position model. The record is from RNAcentral. Lineage: Eukaryota; Metazoa; Arthropoda; Insecta; Coleoptera; Scarabaeidae.
UUUAAAGUCUAAUCUGCCCUAUGAGGAGUUAAAUGGCCGCGGUACCCUGACCGUGCAAAGGUAGCAUAAUAAUUAGUUUUUUAAUUGAAAGCUGGAAUGAACGAUUGGACGAGAAAAUAACUGUCUCAAUUUAAUUUUUUUUAGAAUUUUAUUUUUAAGUAAGAAAGCUUAAAUUUAAUUAAAAGACGAGAAGACCCUAUAGAGUUUUAUAUUUAAUUUAUUAUUAGUUUUUAAGCAUUAUUUUAUUUAUAUUAAAUUAAAUAUUUUGUUGGGGCGAUAGAAAAAUAUUAUUAACUUUUUUUAUAUUUUACCAUUAAUUUAUGAUUAAAUGAUCCAUAUUUUAUGAUUAAAAGAAUUAGUUACCUUAGGGAUAACAGCGUAAUUUUUUUUUAGAGUUCUUAUCGAAAAAAAAGAUUGCGACCUCGAUGUUGGAUUAAAAUAAAUGUUUGGUGUAGAAGCUAAAUAAUUAGGUCUGUUCGACCUUUAAAAUUUUACAUGAUCUGAGUUUAAACCGGCGUAAGCCAGGUUGGUUUCUAUCUUUAAUUUAUUUUAAUAUUUUAGUACGAAAGGACCAGAUAUUAAUAAUAAUUAUUUUAUUUUGAAUAAUAUUAG